AGAGGGCUAGUCUAAAAAAAGACCUUUGAUUUCGACUCAGAAAAUUGUGGUUUAAACCCAUAGCCCCCUU
Molecule: transfer RNA, 70 nt
Filed under: Opsopoeodus emiliae (pugnose minnow)
Lineage: Eukaryota; Metazoa; Chordata; Actinopteri; Cypriniformes; Leuciscidae
Description: tRNA-Arg
Rfam family: tRNA
About the family: Transfer RNA (tRNA) molecules are approximately 80 nucleotides in length.
Source: RNAcentral